CGUGGGGCAACAAAUAAAAAUAAAUGGGGAAUGUGUUCAUGGACACAAAUGCCCUGCUUGCAUAUAACAUUAUACAGGGACAGAACUUUGGAACAGCCAAAAAAUGAUGCUACCCAAAUUCGAACUUGAUUUGAAUGUUGUGGUAAUAAGCAUUGUGUAAAUGUUUCAUAAAAUUUGGUUGGGGCAUUUGGUUGGAAUGGAAUCGAAUUAUUUAACAAAUUUUGUAUUUCUAAAGAGGCAUACUUCUAGAACGCAAACGUGACGCCACCAAAAUUCCAAAGUUUAAUCUGUGGGGUUCGUGUUGCUUAGUCUUUAGUUUUCUAUGUUAUGCCUUGAAUAUGUACUAUUAUUUGUCUGUUUGUUUUUUAAUUUUUUAGCAAUGGCGUUGUCAUUUUUUUUUUUAGAUCUAUGAGUGUGACUGUCCCUUUGGUAUCUUUCGUCCCUAUUUAAUCAGUAGGACAACGCCCGUUGUCUCGUG
RNAcentral lists this long non-coding RNA (478 nucleotides) under Mytilus galloprovincialis (Mediterranean mussel). Lineage: Eukaryota; Metazoa; Mollusca; Bivalvia; Mytilida; Mytilidae. The record is from RNAcentral.